CGAUCAGUAGCCGGACUGAGAGGUUGAACGGCCACAUUGGGACUGAGACACGGCCCAGACUCCUACGGGAGGCAGCAGUGGGGGAUAUUGCACAAUGGGGGAAACCCUGAUGCAGCGAUGCCGCGUGGAGGAAGAAGGUUUUCGGAUUGUAAACUCCUGUCGUAAGGGAAGAGAAAGGACUGUACCUUACAAGAAAGCUCCGGCUAACUACGUGCCAGCAGCCGCGGUAAUACGUAGGGAGCGAGCGUUGUCCGGAAUGACUGGGUGUAAAGGGAGCGUAGGCGGGAUGGCAAGUCAGAUGUGAAACCUGAGGGCUCAACCUUCAGACUGCAUUUGAAACUGCUGUUCUUGAGUGAAGUAGAGGUAAGCGGAAUUCCUGGUGUAGCGGUGAAAUGCGUAGAGAUCAGGAGGAACAUCGGUGGCGAAGGCGGCUUACUGGGCUUUUACUGACGCUGAGGCUCGAAAGCGUGGGGAGCAAACAGGAUUAGAUACCCUGGUAGUCCACGCUGUAAACGAUGAUUACUAGGUGUGGGGGGAUUGACCCCUUCCGUGCCGCAGUUAACACAAUAAGUAAUCCACCUGGGGAGUACGACCGCAAGGUUGAAACUCAAAGGAAUUGACGGGGGCCCGCACAAGCAGUGGAGUAUGUGGUUUAAUUCGAAGCAACGCGAAGAACCUUACCAGGUCUUGACAUCGAGUGACGUAUCCAGAGAUGGAUAUUUCCUUCGGGACACAAAGACAGGUGGUGCAUGGUUGUCGUCAGCUCGUGUCGUGAGAUGUUGGGUUAAGUCCCGCAACGAGCGCAACCCUUAUCAUUAGUUGCUACGCAAGAGCACUCUAAUGAGACUGCCGUUGACAAAACGGAGGAAGGUGGGGAUGACGUCAAAUCAUCAUGCCCCCUUAUGACCUGGGCUACACACGUACUACAAUGGCGACCGAACAGAGGGAAGCAAGACAGCGAUGUGGAGCCAAUCCCAAAAAAUCGCCCCAGUUCAGAUUGCAGGCUGCAACUCGCCUGCAUGAAGUCGGAAUUGCUAGUAAUCGCAGAUCAGCAUGCUGCGGUGAAUACGUUCCCGGGCCUUGUACACACCGCCCGUCACACCAUGGGAGUCGGUAACACCCAAAGCCGGUCGUCUAACCUUCGGGAGGACGCCGUCUAAGGUGGGAUUGAUGACUGGGGUGAAGUCGUAACAAGGUA
This 1198-nucleotide ribosomal RNA is filed under the name metagenome. Its description in RNAcentral is "bacterial SSU rRNA". It matches the Rfam family "Bacterial small subunit ribosomal RNA", at positions 277 to 1498 of the family's 1533-position model. The record is from RNAcentral.